GCCCAGCUCCACUGUGCAUCGCCUCUUCCUCGAGACCACAGCUGGGAGGAGGCAAGGUUCUCCUGGCUUUGCCUUGCUUUGUUAGGAUUUUGAACGCAUUCUUCCGAUGCCACCUCCGAUGUGGGAGCGGCUCUGCUCUGUAAUUCCUGAGCUUCUCAACUAGAGGCAGGUGUCAGAUUUGUGUUUCCACUGCCAGAUCCCUGGGCGCCUCUAUGGAGGAAGAAAUCGGUGAGAUUUCCAGGUGUGCCCUGAAUGUGAAAGGUGAACUUUCCAGGAACAAUUAAAAUGAUCCACAGUGUGAGAGAGCUGGAAAGUUACCUGCCUUCCCCUUAAGAAUUGUUUUAAUCUCUUCAGAAUACCUUGUAACUUUGGCAUUAGGAAUAGGAUCACAAUUUGGAUCAAUGUUAAUGAAAUUGCAGCAACAACUCAAAAGUUUAUCCAGAAAAGAAUCAACAUAAUGCUGAUACUGUGGAAGUACAAAGACCUCUUUUCUGGUUUCCUGAUGUAUGCUGGGAGACAUGUCUAACCCUAUCAGUGGUCCCUGUGUUUUAGUGGGACUUGCUGUGGGGAAGGGAUUACUGUCUCUGUCUCUAUCAAGGAUACCUUGAUUCAUGGAAGUGGUGAUCCUAGCCCCAGAGAACAGCCACUGACAGUGAGAAAGGAUGAUUGUAUUUAAAAGAGCUCUCCAGGUCUUGUGAGCUGAGCUAAGAUGCUGUCUGGCAGAUGAAUUGGAAUGCUUGAAAGCUUUCUUGAAGACUUCUGCAAGAGUUGCUGGCCUCCCCUAACAAGAACUUGAUUGGUUGCCAUCUGGUGUAUUGUGAACAGUCUCAGAGAGUAAGAGGCCAUCUGUUAAUACUUUUUCAGGAAGCUUUUUAUAGAGCAGUGAAGUGGCAAAUCUCAAAAACACGUUGUAAUGACUUACAAGAUCUCAGGUAUUAAUGGAAAGGAAGACUUUUGAAAACUGGAACGUAUUAAUUUUUAGGUUGUUUCCUAUGUGAAGGGACAACAUGGAAGGAAGAAAAGAAAGCAAAAAAAGAGCUGAUUUUAAAAAGCAGCAAAUGAAGAAGUUUGUACCAAGGGCUGAUUGGAGGCAAGAACUGACAUCUUGGGAGCAGAUGAGAGGAAAUGGGAUGUGUCAGUAAAUCAUGAACAGCCUUAAAACUCAAGGCGAGCAAUUCAUAAACAAUAGAGAAGGGAGAGCUGAAGGAGGAAGGGGAAAACCAGAAAGAUUUGAACUCCAAAAAAGGUAUUUGCAACAAGAGUUUGAAGGGAAUGGUACUGGGGAGCAAUCGUAUUGGGAAGGCCAGAGAGAAGAAUGUUGAUGUGACAGUAGGAUUGACUGAUUCCUGUGUGAAAAAGCAUUACGCAUUAUGCAGACAGAAUCAGCAAAAGAAGACUGAGUAGGGAUGAACCAACAGAUGGAGAAGCAAGCAGAAUCACUGUGGAGAUUUCCUAAGCAGGGACAAAAUGAAUGUGGUAAUGCUGAGUGUAAGGAGACACAGGAAAAUAGGAAAUGAGAUGAGGAUGAGAACAAUUCCUGAAGAACCAAAAGCUGGCAGAAGCAAAGUAAUUUCUAUGUCUCAUGGGAAAAGUAGAGGAAGAAGAGAGAAGAAGAAGAGAGAAGAAAGAGUAAGACAUUCAAAUGUCUAAAAGUUUGGUGUCCUUUUUUUUUAUUUGGUAGAAAGUUGGCAAAAGCCUGUAUGGAUAAAGAAUAAAUUGUGGAGUUGGAUUUACUUUUAUCAGAAAAGCAGACUUUGUUAGAGACAUGCUAGAGAAACUGAUGGAGCAGGUAAUUCUGGUCUCCACGAGUCUACUGGAACUGCUUUCUGUUCUGAAUUGAGUUGAUGUGGUGUAAAUAGAGGUGAGCUGGGAUGGAAGCUUGGCAAAUGAGGUCUUGUUAAGUGAGAAAGAAUGAGAGAGAUCUUAUAAAUGGAAAGGAUGGCAAUGAGGAGGAGGCUGAAAGCAAACAAAAGUCUUUCCUGUGUACUGGACACAUGAAGCAAUUGAAUUGUGAAAAAGCUGACAGUCAUUAAGUGGGAUAGAGGUGGAGAAAGCGGAUAGUGCUGAUAAAGGCAUUGUAGAACAAGAGCUCUGCAGCAGGAGGGUCAAGCCAGACCUGCAGGUGUGAGACCAAAGAGAUGGGUGACAGUAAGCACAGAUAGCUCAUGGGUACAGAAGUUGUCCUUGAGUUAAGCUUAAGGAAAGCCAAGAGUCAGCAGCAGAGGAAGGUGGAUGAUGAAGCUGGAUUUGAGGUAGCCAACCACAACAGUGAAGAAGAGACAUGGCAGGACUCCUUGUUUACUGAAAUUAAGUAUCUCUUUGCUGCUCAAUUAAUCAAUUGUUUUAAGUUAGAACACAUAUUUUUUGU
Molecule: non-coding RNA, 2368 nt
Organism: Cyanistes caeruleus (blue tit)
Lineage: Eukaryota; Metazoa; Chordata; Aves; Passeriformes; Paridae
Source: RefSeq, a predicted model, not a curated record